AGCACUUUAAUCCCUGAAGUUAUAGUAGUAUUAUAUUUUGUUUAAUUGCACUUUAGUCAUCUUUGUAUGAGCUGGCAUAGCUCUGUCAGAAGCAGUAGUAGGUGAGGACACUGUUGCAAGCAUACUCUAUGAAUCAGCUAGGGUUGUGGUCCUAUAUAUAUUGUACUGAUGAAAAUGAAAUGAGAUUAUCUUGUUUUGCCAUAUAUCUCUUAGUUGUAAGUUAGCUUAGCAACUAGUUGUCUUCCUCAUUUUCUAUUCCCUGAAUUUCCCCUUUUUCUACUGUUCCAUUGAUUAUUGUUCAUCAAUAUUACUGUUCCAUUGAAUCUGCAUUAUACAUUGUUGCGUAACAGGGGAUUUCCCGUGGAGUUCUUUCCGGUUUUAUUUGCAAUCCCUCGCAUGGCUGACUACUUGUCACAUUAUAUUGUUGCGAGUCCCUUGACGAUCCUGAUACCAAGAUAAUGAGACCAGCACAUGAGGUAACUUAACUAUGGGCAAGCGCAAAUCAGUCUACUUAUGAGCGUGUACUAACUAGUGUUUGAAUAGAAUGCACACCUCGUCUCAUGAUUUGCAUUUGCACACAUCGUCUCAUUGAUCAUAACAGAAGUAACAGAGAGUGGUGGAGACAUCUAUACUCCAUCUGGGAACCCUGUAGCUUGGAUGAAUCAGAACUAUCGAAUGCAACAAUCACCAGGAAUGAAUCCUUUGGGGUGGGGGUCUGUGCCUCCUUUUCAAGCUAAUAUGGAAACAACCACACCUCAAGGACAUGCUUCACAAGGGAUGAAUCAAGGACCACAUGUUGCAGGUCCUCAGGGAGGGGUAUCAUUUGGAGCAUCACCUGGAAACUGCUCAGGAAACCAAUCAAUGACCAGGUUCACCAAAAUGGAAUUUCCUAGGUUUAAUGGAACUAACCUUAGAGCAUGGUUGUGUAAGGUGGAACAAUACUUUUCGAUGGAUGAAGUAGCUUAUAAUCAGAAGGUUAAGGUAGCAUCCAUUCAUUUUGAUGAUAUAGCUAUAGAAUUAUUCAUUUUGAUGAUAUAGCUAUAAAAUGGCAUCUGGCUUAUUUGAAAAGUAGAUCUCACUUACCUUACCCUGCUUGGGAGGAGUAUGUUUAUGCUCUAAUGGACAGAUUUGGGGCUGAGUAUACUGAUCCUAUGUCUGAACUUAAACUAGUCAAGCAGGUUGGUAUGGUUGAUGAGUAUCAAAAGGAGUUUGAUAGGAUUAUGACCAGAUUGGUUAUUCUCCCUGAGUAUGCUAUUAGUGCUUUUAUCACUGGUUUGAAACCUGAGAUUGGAUUUACUGUUAAGAAUCAUAGGCCCUGUUCCUUACCACAAGCUUACCAGUUAGCAAGAAACACUGAGGCUCAGGUAAAUGCCCAGUUGAAGUUGACUAGAUCAUCUCUAUAUGUUGCAGGGGGUUCUCAGUCAAGGGCAGGGAACUAUAAUUCAUUUUCCAAGGGAGCAGGAGGCAGAGAACUAUAAUUCAUUUUCCAAGGGAGCAGGAAGCAAACGAGAAGGCCAACCAUUUAAGGACUCAUCUGUGAGUCUGAACAGGAAGACUUCAAGAAGGCUCACACCUACUGAGAUGAGUGAGAAAAGGCAGAAGGGUCUGUGUUUCUUCUGUGAUGAGAAGUUUGUGCCUGGUCAUAAGUGCAGCUCUAACAAACAACUAUAUUUGUUAGAGGUGGCUGAAGAUGGGGAGGAAGACCAAAUGUUAGAAGUGCAGGAGGAUCAUGAUAACUAUGAAGAGGAUGAGGGACAUGAACAGAAUUGUGAAAUAUCUGUACAUGCUCUUAAUGGAAUCUAUGGGUUCAAUACACUUAGAAUCAUGGGCUAUACUAAGGAUGGUCCUCUAAACAUAUUGGUUGACCCUGGAAGCUCACAUAAUUUUAUUGAUGAUAGGCUGAUUAAGAAGUUGCAGGGAGAUACACAAUUGAUCAAACCAUAGUAUGUGAAUGUAGCUGAUGGUGGCAAUAGACAGACUAAUGAGGUUUGUAGAAACUUCAUUUGGAUGAUGCAAGGGCUCACAUUCCAGGAUGACUUUUUGUUGCUGUCACUAGGUUCUUGCGAUAUGAUUUUGGGGGUUCAGUGGUUGCUUCCUCUAGGAGACAUCAAACUCAACUUCCAGAAGUUAACGUUGGGGUUCUGGUAUCAAGGCAAGGAAGUGGUAAUACAAGGUACUAGAGAGAAAACUAGAAUUGUGGAGGCCAAGAAGUUGGACAAGCUAGCCCAAAAUGGCUGUCAACUUUUCAUGAUCAGGGUAUUGCCAACUGAUCAGGAACAACGAGAGGAACCACAGGCCGAUGCUAGUGCUAAUCCUAUCUUGGAAUUAACUAAGGAGUUUCAGAUACUCUUUCAGGAUCCCAAGGGCUUGCCACCUCAUAGAGGAGUGUUUGACCACAAGAUUCCCUUGCAGCAAGGUAGCAAUCCAGUCAAUGCUAGGUGUUAUAGGUACUCAUCAGGACAGAAAGAUGUCCUUGAUCAGAUGGUGCAAGAAAUGUUGGAUCAAGGCAUUGUGCGGCCAAGCUCUAGUCCUUAUGCUUCACCAGUGGUAUUGGUAGGGAAGAAAGAUGGGUCUUGGAGGUUGUGUGUAGAUUAUAGGGCACUCAACAAGAUGACUAUCAAAGAUAAAUUUCCCAUCCCCAUUAUCGAAGAGUUGUUAGAUGAACUUGGUGGUUCACGGAUCUACUCUAAACUAGAUCUUAGCUCUGGCUAUCAUCAGAUUAGGAUGACAAGGGAAGAUGUACAGAAGACUGCUUUCAGGACACAUGCUGGACACUAUGAGUAUUUAGUGAUGCCCUUUGGUCUCACUAAUGCACCUUCUAGUUUUCAAGGGUUAAUGAACCAUGUGUUCAAAGAUUACCUAAGGAAGUUUAUUUUGGUAUUUUUUGAUGACAUUUUGGUUUACAGCAGGAGCUUGGAAGAACAUUUGCAGCAUUUGAGAAUCACUUUCAACUUGCUGGUACAACAUAAGUUGUUUAUGAGGAAGGCUAAAUGCUCAUUUGGGGCAACAAGGGUGGAGUACUUUGGUCAUUUCAUCUCUGCUGAGGGUGUAGCUACUGAUCCAAAAAAGAUAGAAGCUGUUAAAAAUUGGCCAAUACCUAAAACACUAAAGGAGUUGAGGGGUUUUCUUGGAUUAACUGGUUACUAUAGGAGGUUCAUCAAAGGUUAUGGGGUCAUUAGCAAGCCGUUGACUGAUCUUUUGAAGAAGGAGGGGUAUCAUUGGAGUGACAAGGCUACUGCAGCUGUUGAGAAGUUGAAAUUAGCACUGGUAAGUGCUCCUGUGCUAGCUUUGCCUAAUAGUACAUUGAUGUUUGUAGUUGAAACAAAUGCAUGUGACUACGGUAUAGGGGCAGUAUUGAUGCAGGAUGGACAUCCAUUGGCUUAUUUGAGCAAGGGGCUCUCUGCAAGGCAUCAAGGUUUAUCUGUGUAUGACAAAAAGCUAUUAGUUUUAGUCAUGGCCGUGACUAAGUGGUCACAAUAUCUGCUGGGAAGACAUUUUUUAAUCAGAACAGAUCAAAAAGCAUUGAAGUUUUUACUGGAGCAAAAACUUCAUACUGGGACUCAGAUGAAAUGGAUAGCAAAAUUGAUGCAGUUUGAUUUUGAAAUAGAGUAUAAGAAGGGAAGGGAAAAUAAGGCUGCCGAUUCUCUAUCAAGACAAGUGAAUACUGAAUUGCUAAUGAUUUCAGUAGCACCUGCAGAUCACACUUUGCUUCAUAGGAUCAUGGAACUUUGGAACAAAGACCAAGAGCUUAGAUCUCUUAUUCAGAAGCUGGAGGAGCAAGGUGAAACAGUAAAGGGAUACACUUACACCAACCAACAACUAAGGAAGUAUGGUAAGCUGGUUAUUGGAGCAGAUGCACAGCUAAGGAAGGACAUCAUGCAACUGUGGCAUGAUAACACUAAUGGGGGGCACUCAGGAAUGGAGAAUACCUACAGAAGGCUGGCUACUCUUUUCUAUUGGAAGAAUCUCAGAGAAGAUGUAAAUGAAUAUGUUAGGAAGUGCUCAGUUUGUCAAAGAAGUAAGUAUGAUGCCUCAGCAACUCCGGGCCUCUUACAACCUUUGGCUAUUCCCAAGACCUCAUGGUCUUGCAUAAGCAUGGACUUCAUUGAUGGCCUUCCAAAGUCUAAGGGGAAAACCACCAUCCUUGUGGUGGUAGACAGAUUGACCAAGUAUGGCCAUUUUAUGGCACUCAGCCAUCCUUACACGGCUGUUUCUGUGGCUCAAACAUUCAUGGACCAGGUGUUCAAACUCCAUGGCAUGCCAGAAAAUAUUGUGAGUGAUAGGGAUCCCAUAUUUUUGAGUAGGUUUUGGCAAGAACUGUUUUCAUUACAAGGAGUAACAUUGAGCACAUCUUCAGCUUACCAUCCACAAACAGAUGGUCAAACUGAAGUCCUUAACAGGACAUUGGAGACUUAUUUAAGGUGCUAUUGCUCAGAUAGUCAGCAUGACUGGGCUUUAUACUUGCCACUAGCAGAAUGGUGGUAUAAUUCCACCUACCAGUCAGCUAUACAAACCACCCCUUAUGAAGCACUAUAUGGUCAAGCUCCACCUAUCCAUUUGCCAUAUCUACCAGGGGAAGCUAUUGAAGAAGAAGAAGUGGAUAAGAGUCUGAUCACCAGAGAAUUUACCAUUUUAUGGCACUCAACCAUCCUUACACGGCUGUUUCUAUGGCUCAAACAUUCAUGGACCAGGUGUUCAAACUCCAUGGCAUGCUAGAAAAUAUUGUGAGUGAUAGGGAUCCCAUAUUUUUGAGUAGGUUUUGGCAAGAACUGUUUUCAUUACAUGGAGUAACAUUGAGCACAUCUUCAGCUUACCAUCCACAAACAGAUGGUCAAACUGAAGUCCUUAACAGGAUAUUGGAGACUUAUUUAAGGUGAUAUUGCUCAGAUAGUCAGCAUGACUGGGCUUUAUACUUGCCACUAGCAGAAUGGUGGUAUAAUUCCACCUACUAGUCAGCUAUACAAACCACCCCUUAUGAAGCACUAUAUAGGUCAAGCUCCACCUAUCCAUUUGCCAUAUCUACCAGGGGAAGCUAUUGAAGAAGAAGUGGAUAAGAGUCUGAUCACCAGAGAAUUUAAGGCUCAAUUUCCAUCUACACAGAGCUCAACAAAGGAUGCAGUCUUUAGCUAACAAACAUAAAAGUGAUAGGCAAUUGAAGGUAGGGGAUUGGGUGUAUUUGAAGAUUCAGCCCUAUAGACAAGUGACAGUGUCUCAACAAGCAUUCAAUAAACUGUCAGCAAAGUUUUAUGGACCCUAUCAGAUCUUAGAAAAGAUUGGAACAGUAGCAUACAAGCUAUCUCUACCAGCUCAUGUCGCCAUCCAUCCCACUAUACAUGUGUCUCAGUUGAAGUUAUGCCAUCAACUACCAGACACUACCCAUCAUCCACCAAUCAUUGACAUAGCAAGCCCCUUUUGUGUGGAGCCCCAGAGCAUUGAAGGAAGAAGAAUGAUUAAGAAAGGAAAUAAGGCAGUGGUUCAGGUUCUGAUUCAGUGGAAGGAGAUGUCCAAAGAGCAAGCUACAUGGGAAGAUUUUACGGCUAUGAAGAUCAGGUUCCCAGAGUUCUUCCUUGAGGACAAGGAAGUUCGUAAGGAUGGAGGAAUGAUGCAGAAUGAAAGUGGCUGAAGUUGUUAAGUUAGCACUUUAAUCCCUGAAGUAGUAGUAUUAUAUUUUGUUUAAUUGCACUUUAGUCAUCUUUGUAUGAGCUGGCAUAGCUCUGUCAGAAGCAGUAGUAGGUGAGGACACUGUUGCAAGCAUACUCUAUGAAUCAGCUAGGGUUGUGGUCCUAUAUAUAUUGUACUGAUGAAAAUGAAAUGGGAUUAUCUUGUUUUGCC
This 5832-nucleotide long non-coding RNA is filed under the name Solanum tuberosum (potato). RNAcentral's name for it is "long non-coding RNA (STUB_LNC011181)". Lineage: Eukaryota; Viridiplantae; Streptophyta; Magnoliopsida; Solanales; Solanaceae. The record is from RNAcentral.